CAAUAGCGUAUAUUAAAGUUGUUGCAGUUAAAAAGCUCGUAGUUGGAUUUCUGAUGGGAGCGAUCGGUCUGGCGCUUAGCGCGAGUACUUGCAUCGUCUCCGGCCAUCCUUGGGGAGAGUCUGUCUGGCAUUAGGUUGUCGGGCAGAGGAUCCUCAUCGUUUACUGUGAAAAAAUUAGAGUGUUCAAAGCAGGCUUAUGCCGUUGAAUAUAUUAGCAUGGAAUAAUAAGAUAGGACUUUGGUACUAUUUUGUUGGUUUGCGCACCAAAGUAAUGAUUAAUAGGGACAGUUGGGGGUAUUCGUAUUCCGUUGUCAGAGGUGAAAUUCUUGGAUUUACGGAAGACGAACUACUGCGAAAGCAUUUACCAAGGAUGUUUUCAUUAA
Molecule: ribosomal RNA, 383 nt
Filed under: uncultured eukaryote
Lineage: Eukaryota
Description: partial 18S ribosomal RNA
Rfam family: Eukaryotic small subunit ribosomal RNA
Source: RNAcentral